UACGUAGGCAGCGAGCGUUGUUCGGAGUUACUGGGCGUAAAGCGCGUGUAGGCGGCCAGAUAAGUCCGCUGUGAAAUCUCGAGGCUCAACUUCGAGCUGUCGGUGGAAACUGUCUGGCUAGAGUCCGGAAGAGGAGAAUGGAAUUCCUGGUGUAGCGGUGAAAUGCGCAGAUAUCAGGAAGAACACCCGUGGCGAAGGCGGUUCUCUGGGACGGUACUGACGCUGAGACGCGAAAGCGUGGGGAGCGAACAGG
Molecule: ribosomal RNA, 253 nt
Filed under: uncultured bacterium
Lineage: Bacteria
Description: partial 16S ribosomal RNA
Rfam family: Bacterial small subunit ribosomal RNA
Source: RNAcentral